This 639-nucleotide ribosomal RNA is filed under the name uncultured bacterium. RNAcentral describes it as "bacterial SSU rRNA". It matches the Rfam family "Bacterial small subunit ribosomal RNA", at positions 335 to 984 of the family's 1533-position model. The record is from RNAcentral.
ACUCCUACGGGAGGCAGCAGUGGGGAAUAUUGGACAAUGGGCGAAAGCCUGAUCCAGCAACGCCGCGUGAGGGAUGACGGCCUUCGGGUUGUAAACCUCUUUCAGCGGGGACGAAGCGAAAGUGACGGUACCCGCAGAAGAAGCACCGGCCAACUACGUGCCAGCAGCCGCGGUAAUACGUAGGGUGCGAGCGUUGUCCGGAAUUAUUGGGCGUAAAGGGCUCGUAGGCGGUUUGUCGCGUCGGGAGUGAAAACACUGGGCUUAACCGAGUGCUUGCUUUCGAUACGGGCAGACUAGAGGUAUGCAGGGGAGAACGGAAUUCCUGGUGUAGCGGUGAAAUGCGCAGAUAUCAGGAGGAACACCGGUGGCGAAGGCGGUUCUCUGGGCAUUACCUGACGCUGAGGAGCGAAAGUGUGGGGAGCGAACAGGAUUAGAUACCCUGGUAGUCCACACCGUAAACGUUGGGCGCUAGGUGUGGGGUCUAUUCCAUGGACUCCGUGCCGCAGCUAACGCAUUAAGCGCCCCGCCUGGGGAGUACGGCCGCAAGGCUAAAACUCAAAGGAAUUGACGGGGGCCCGCACAAGCGGCGGAGCAUGCGGAUUAAUUCGAUGCAACGCGAAGAACCUUACCUGGGUUUGA